AACUGCAUGGAGGGAUUUGGGGGAUUUCAUUGGAGUUGGGAGGUUGGAGAGGAUUUAGGGGUUUUGUCGGGAUUUGGGGGUUUUGUUGGAGUUAGGAGGUGAGAGAGGGUUUAGGGGGUUUCGUUGGGAUUAAGUUUUGGGGUUCUCAAAUGCAUAGAGGGAUUUGGGAGUUUCAUUGGAAUUGGGAGGUUGGAAAGAUUUAGAGGCUUUAUUGGGAUUUGGGGUUCUCAACUGCACAGGGGAUUCAGGGGUUUUGUUAGAGCUGGGGGCUUGGGGAGGACUUUGGGGUUUCAUUGAGGUGAAGAUGUGUGGAAAUUUGGGGAGGGGAUUUGGGAUUCUUAACUACAUGGGGGUUUACAUUCGAUUUAGGAGUGGAUUUGGGAUUUCCAAUGGGAUGGGGACUUGAAGGGUGGUGGGAUUCCUGCCUGCGUGGAGGGAGUUUGGAGUAUUCAUCAGGAUGAAGACUUUGGAAAGAUUUGGGGUUUUGUCAGUGUGGGCAUUUGAGGGGGGAUUUGUUGUCAUUCCCAUCUAUGGGGGGGUGGUUGGGGUUUUGGUUGGAUUUGGGAUGUUGGGGAGGAUUUGGGGUUUUAUUGGAAUGAGAGGCGUGAGGAUGAUUUGGUAUUUCAACAUACAUAGGAGUGAUUUGGGGGGUUUCACUGGAGUAUUUGGGGGUUUUUGUCAUGGUGAAGACUUGUGAGGGAUUGGGAGUUUUAAUCUGGAUAGGGUUUUGUAAACUGAUUUUGGAUUCCCACCCACAUGACCAAGGAUUUGGGAUUUUUGUCUGGAUGCAGACUUGGGGAUCUCAUUGGGAUUCCCACCUGCACAGCAAAAAUGUGUGAGUUUUAUCAGGAUGGGCAUUUGGAGGUGGAUUUGGGAUUUUCAUCUGGAUGGGGGUUUGGGGUUUGAUUUCAGAUUCACAUCCAGGUGUAGGUUACUUGGGGAUUUCAAUCUAGAUUGGGUUAGUUCUGGGAUUCUCAGCAGGGCUGGGGGUUUAUUCGGCAUUUUCAUCAGAAGGUGGGAUUAAUUUGGGAUCACCUUCUGCAUAUACACCACAUAUACACACACACUGACCCCUCCUCUUCCCCCCAGAGAAUGUACAUUUUCCCAGGAUGUUUUCUGGGAAAGAUUAGCUCCUGUUUGAGAAUGUCUCACAGUCAGCCACGUGUCCAAAGUACGAAGGACAAAACUAUGAUCAAAUCUCAGCAUUGUUUUGUGUUGAGGCACCAAAAGUUGUAGUGUUCAGGCAAGGAGCGCUCGCUGCAGCUGGAAGGAGACUGAAAAUAAGGUCAGACCUUUGCACUGGAUCCUCCUCCUGGCUCUGCUGGAUCCAGGAACCUUCCCAGCCUGGACCCAGAGGUGGUGAAGGUCACCUUCAGAAGAUGAGGAGAUGCUUGGGUUUGCUGGCGCAGCUCUCCCUGCUUCACAUGUUGUCCCCAGAAAAGGCUUCUUGUCCUGAUUUACUUCUGGGCCACUGCAGAGAGACUUUCCAGGUGCCUCAGCCCAGACUCAGCUCCUCUUGCUACCACUCUGCACUACACAGCACCCAAAAGCUGUGAAACUCGAGUUGCAAUAAAUGAAUGAAUGUGUUGGUGCACGUUGUUAAUCCUGCCAGUAUAAGAGAGGCACUUCCUUCUCUCCCUGAGGAGUAUUUUUAAUACCAGAUCCCAUUCAUACACACAGUCUCUCCGAAUUUUUGUUGUUAACUGCCAAGCCAAGACAGCCCAGGGAAAAACCUGAGCUGCUUCAGUACAGGUUGGGAUGGACAGGAGGGAGGUGAUGCUGAGCUCCUCAAAUUCUCUCUUUAUGGCACCAGUGCUCCUAAAACACUGCAAAAAUAUCCCGUGGCUCAUUGCUCAGGGGUAGCAGUGCCUGGGAGAUGGGGGAUUCCCCAAGGUGUGCUGGGUGUCCUCUCAAAGUGAGGGCUGUGGGAAUAACAGAUAAGAACAGAGCUGCCUUGGCAGCAACCUAAGGAAAACAGAAUGGCCUGAAAUCCACUUAGAAAUCAGGCUGGAUUUGGUUUUGUUGUUUGUAAUGAGAGUUAGGAGAAGAAUUCUGCCUGGUUGGUCCCAUCAGCAGAUCUGGGCUGUGCUGGUCCUUUGGCCUUGGGCAAGGAGGAGGAAGGAGCCUCACCCCUGAGCAUCUAAAUCCUUCUAGAUUGCUGAUUUGGGACGUAGGUUUUCUCUUAAUUAUCACAAAAGGCACCCUGGCACUUACACAGGCAGUUUUGUGAGUUCUCAAGAGGCUUGUUGGACGCAAUGCUCUUUUGUCUCCUCAAGCCUCAGCUGCUGGCAAUCGCCACUGCGGCUGAAACAACGGCAUGGCCUCCGCUUCUUGGAAAAACAGAUUCUUCCAGAAACAUGGAGUUAAGCCUCCUUUUCCAGGAGGGCAGCAGGAAGGUCUCCCAUUAUUCCUGCUGCUUUGCAGGGUACAGGUGCCUUCCCACCUGCGCCAGCUCUGAAUCUGCCUCUGCUGCAAAGGGGAUAAUUACUGAGGGUGUCAGAUCAAGGCUGUGAAUCAUGAGCAGCUGAGGGAAAAAUAAAGGGAUAUUUAGCAAGACUGCUUCAAAAGCUGGGUGUCUGAUAAAGUACAUCCCAACCAUCAGCUGGGGGAAAGGCCAGGAAAAGAACCCUAAUUUGGGAAACUGGGCACUUUCUGGGGGUGUCAAAAAGGCAUCGGUGUUUCCCAGAAAGAUGGAAACAGUCUUUGACACCCCAAGACAUGCAGCAUUGCUAACUGGGAGCUUUAUCACGAGUAUCCCAGCUCUGGAGGUUUUCCUAAAUACCAAAAUCACUGGGCCAGGAAAUUAUGUAGAGGCUUUUGCUUUCAACUCCAAACAUGAAUGCCUUAGAGGUGUAGGGAAACCCUUUGGAGAAUGGCCUGCACAUCUCUCUGAGAAGUGGGAGUCAAAAAUAAGAAUUCACUUUAAAAUUUAUUAUUGACAUUAUGAUUAUUUAAAAUCUCAUGGGCUUAAGUCAGUCAAGUGUGUUUUUCAAUCCUGACAUUAAUACGGUUGCACACAGGUUCACAUGUACCUGGGUCUGUGUGUUCCAGCCAAAUAUUUACGUAAGGCUGUGAAAGAGCAGCACAGGGAGUCAUUGGUUUCAAGGUAUGCAAGUCAGCUGGGCUGAAACCCUCUCAGGAGGAGGAAGACUCCACAUGACACAAGAUUUCCUUGUUGGAGAAAUCCCAAGAUGUUUUUGUGAUUCCCCAAAGGCUACAGACACCCCAUUUCUCUGCAAUUUAAUGCAAACUGGACAAAGGAGAAGAAAACAUAAAGUAGGAGUUGCUCUUGUGCUUCACAAUGCUGGGAUAAAUUCCCCAAGACAGUUUUAUCUUCUCUGCACCUUGUAAUUCCUUCUCGGCUGCGUUCAGAUUUGUCACAACAUUUGACUGACAUCUCCAGGGAGCCUUGCAAUAUUUACCUCUUCUCACAGAAAAUGACCGAGGGAAGCCUGUGCAGCUCAAAAAUCCUCGGGCUGAGAUCCAGCUUAGGAUCAUUUAACUUGCCAGUAAUCCGAUUUUAUUGAAUGUCGUCACCUAUCUCCUUGUGCAACUGGGCACCAAGUAAUAAUGUUUGGAAUUCAGAUCUGGGGCUACGAUGGGGAAGAUGAAGGGCUGAUACCUCUGACGUGAGUAACAGUGUGAGCAGCAGCCUGUGGGCUCCUGGGUUGAGGAUCCUUAGAGGCUAUUCCAGGAAGGAAAGCAAAAAAACCCAAACCCAAACUACCCUCCUUUCAUCAAGAGACAAAAAUACCAGAGGUCUGAUGUUUGUAUUUAUGUUUCAGAAGCUGGGGAGUCAGAAAUGUCACAUGGGAAUCUGCUCCUUAGCCUGGACCUGAACCAGAAGAAGGAAACAAAAUGCAGCUUUUAGCCUCAGGAGCAGGAAUCGUCUUGAGAAAGCCAAGAACAGCCUGGGAUACUGCUCACAAUGCCUGCUGUCUGUUCCCGAACUUCUGCGAAUGGAGAGGCAAAAAUCCCAUUGGUAUCAGACAAAGACUUACAAAAUCCAGGUUCAGCCCUCAGUUCUGAAAUAAUCUCCUGUCUCAGCUGUGAUCCUAUUUUGAAGAACUUCUGUUCUUCCAGUUUUCUCUGCACUUGACCACUCAGACAGGUGUAAUUUCUGAUUCUCUUGAGUUUAACUUUUUAAGAGAAAAAGCAAGGAACCUCAUUUUCAGCAAGCUGCCAACCUUCCUGCAGUGCCUAUGCAGCACCUCUCUAGGGAGCCUGUUGCAGUGUUUGACCACCCUCUGGGUAAAGAAAUGCUUCCUCAUGUCCAGUCUGAACCUCUCCUGAGACAGUUUUGAGCCAUUCCCACAUGUUCUGUCACUGGAUAUCAGGGAGUAGAGCUCAGCACCUCCCUCCCCACUUCCCCUCCUCAGGAAGGGGUAGAGACCAAUACAGAUAACCCUUUUUCCAAGACCACAGUGAGUGGCCACUGCUGCUCCAAAAUCCCUUGUGUUCAUCCUCCCCACAAACUCCUGCAGAGGUCUGUGGGAUGUGAAGGACCAGUAGGAAACCUCUAAAAGAAAUUUGGGAGGGAUUGCUCCAUUUUACUGGACAAGAGACCAGAAAUACUUCCUUCAACAUGGGGAGAGGAAACUCCUUGAAAUCCCAAUCUGGAUUUUUCAGUGAGAAUUACCCACGAUGAUCCUUGGGUGCAGCACACCUCUCCAACCUAAAUAUCUUCUGCCACUUGGGCCCACACUGCUCUCCCAACACCAACUCCACAUCUCUUUGGAGUGGCUUUGCCACCACGUCUUCCCUCUGACAAGGACCUGCCCCCAAAAAAGCCUCGAAGUUACCAGGGCAACCUGAAAAAGUCCAGCAGCUCUGGAGCAUUGUUUGGGGCUGCAGCAGCCCUGAGGAAUUCACUAUUUAUUUUAGAGAUAAAAGCUGCAACUUCCACACAUUCUUCUUCAAUUUCACUCUCCAUUAAGUGCAUUGCCCUGUCAUAACAAAGCUCGUUGAAUUAUUAGAGAUGAGGGGAAUUGUUCGGAGCCUGGAGUGGGGAAAGGGAUGGGAGGGAGCUUGUGGAUUGUCUUUGUGGAGCCCCUCCAUGGAGCAUUUAGGAUGUGGUUGGGGCUUUCUGAGGGUGCCUGGGGGACAGUGAGGGCAGGGAGUGAGGGCCAGAGGCUUGGGUUGGGUCAGGUAGCCUUGGGCAAAUCCCUGUUUGUUUGUCUCCCUGUCCCUGUCCUGGACUGUGUUUCAGUUGGUGUCCUCCUGCUUUCCCUUGUGCUUUUUUAGACAUGGAUAAAAAAUAAAGAGGAAAGAAGGGGUCAAAUUAAAGCCUCAUGUCCCAGAGAAGUGGUUGACCCCUCCAGUUCCUCCAGCACUAUCAAAAAUCUCAUUUCCUCUUCCCCACUCCAAUGUCCACAGUGGGGCUGGUUCUCCCAGUGCCCUUGUGAGCAGUUUCCCUUAUGCCUGGUGCGAACUAUAGGUUGCUGAGACGUGAAUCACCUCAGAUGGCUUCCUUCCACCCCCAAAACUCCUCCCUGGGAUAUCAGCACGGCAGAGUUGGUGUGAAUCCCGUGUCAGCCCAGCACCUCCCAUCCUUAUGCUGGUGUUUGUUCGUGGUGGAUUAAGGUGAGAAAUGGGCUUUUGGGCAGGGGAAUUCACUUGUACAGUGGGAACCCAGGCUAGGACAGGUGAGUUAUUUCUCGAAAUCAGAUGAGGUGAACCCCACUCCUAAGUCUCAUUUCUAAUGUUCACACUGGUUUAGUUUUUAACCUGUAUUUUUCCCUUCCAGUUCCUCAGUUUCCCAACACGAGCUCCAAGUUACAUCCUGCAUCUCAACAAGAUUAACAAGAUCGUCACGGGCUGGGUCUGUGAAAGGUUUUGACAUUUACAGAAAGAACAUGCAGUGGAAAUAAUAAAUGUUGUUAUUUUCAC
Molecule: long non-coding RNA, 5889 nt
Organism: Corvus hawaiiensis (hawaiian crow)
Lineage: Eukaryota; Metazoa; Chordata; Aves; Passeriformes; Corvidae
Exons: 2
Source: RefSeq, a predicted model, not a curated record